Molecule: long non-coding RNA, 2488 nt
Organism: Ochotona curzoniae (black-lipped pika)
Lineage: Eukaryota; Metazoa; Chordata; Mammalia; Lagomorpha; Ochotonidae
Exons: 2
Source: RefSeq, a predicted model, not a curated record
ACCGGCACCAUAUGGGAUCCUGGGCGUGCAAGGCGAGGACUUUAACCACUGCACCACCACGCUGGGCCCAUGUGCACAUACUUUUAUAAGGCUCUCUGAAGUUUAAUUGUACUUAUGCUGAAUGCAGAUUCUUUUCCUAGUCUGCUUCUUGGGCCUGGUUGUUUGUGAUUUGGGAAACCAGCAAAGAUAGAAAGGCUCCUGAGCGGUAGCAGGCCUCUCCUUUUUCUGUGAAAUCCAGCAUUUUCCUUUACUUAGGGAAGAUAAUUUCUUUCACUGUAUAAAAUUGACAUAACAUUAUUGAAAAAAAAAAGUAGAAAAAGAAGCUUAAACAGUAGUUUUCUUUUCACACCUGAGUUUGAUGCUGUGUGGUUUACCACAUGCAUGUUCAUUCCUGAGUAUUGUACCACAUCCUUAUUGGCACAUUUCAUUGUUGUGACAAAUCAGCCGCAUCAUAGCCUAAAUAACAAGAAUUUGAGAAGAUUUUGGGACUCCUUUUCAUUCUGGAAUCCUUAUUCAUAGCUGUCUUAGUUUCAUAAAAUCAUGCAAAGAAACAAACUUACCCUGUAAUGUAUGCCCUUUAAAUAAAUUUCAAACAGGGAAGGACCAACAGUGCUGCUCUGGAUCUUACCCGAUUUUAUGUAUUCAAGAAUCUGGCCCCAGGAAGUUGUUUUCUUUUCUGCAUCAUCAUUUUCCUUCUUUACUGGAUCUUACCUACUCGUACAGAAACGUGCUAUUAUUUUUACUGUUGUAAACUAUCAAAAUGUUUCAGACACCUUGUUCUUACUUAGGCACUAUUGCGCUUGUCUUUAGAACAAAAUUCCUGAAAAGAGGUGUCUAUACACCUUGUCUUCAAUUCCUCUCCUUUGUUUGACUUUGAGUCUUCCAGAACAUAUUUCCUGCUUCUGCUUCAAAACCUGCACUUUUCUAGGUUUCCAGUAACCUCUGUGUUACCAAGUGUAAUUGUGGCCCAUCUGACUUGACUUAGCACCAACAUUUUUGCACAGUGGAUCACAUCCCCUUCAUGCAAGCCUUUCUUCACUCAAGUACCAGCCUGAACAUUCCCUGGAUUUUUCCCAUUCUUUCCUAGUUUUCCCGAUUCUUCAACCUUAUUAAUGGGAUGCUCUUCCCUUUGAUUUAUAAUGGACUUGAGGAGUGAUGCUGCCCAUUCUCAUGGUGGGUCUCCGAUUUGCUUAUUCCUACCUGACACCUGCACUUGGCUGCCUAAAUUAACUUGUCUAAACUUAAAUUCCUGUUCUUUUUGUUUGUGCUGGUCAGCAUCACUGGCUCCUGUGACAUUCUUCUCACACAGAAAGCACAUUCAGAGCUCAAGGGCUUUGCAUUUGAAGUGACCUCUGUCGGCUGGGCCUUCUUGUGUGUCCCACAUAUCUUGUCUCUACCUCCUGAAGUCUUUACUCAAAUAUCUGCACUCUCAGCUCACCCAUAUUUUUCUGUGCUGCAUACUGAUUAGGUUUGCCUGUUUUAUUCAUGCACUGAUGUGAUUCUACUGAGAAAUAUUUUCCCGGUUGCUACCAUAGACCUUGGUGCUCAGUUAAUAUAUAUUGAGUGAAAAGAUGAGAGGAUAUUAUUACAAUUGUAGUUGAUGUUAAUAGUUCUAGCACAGUUUUCAGAAUUGAAAAUCUGAAAAAGCUUAGUCACUUAUGAGACUUCACUUGAGUAGCAGCAGCCACUUUCCUGCUCUUAUAGGAAAGUUUCCACUGUGCGUCUUUUUCUUCAGCAGCUGUCUAAGCAAAUUGCUCAUCCUAGCUGCUUCUUGGAAUCAGUCUGGCCGCCUCUCAACUUCUCCUGGCUCUGCUGGUUCCACCAAGGCUUCUGUUCAUAGAGCUUAGUUCUGCUUCCUGACCUCACAGAGCUUGCCCUUUUUAUAGUAAAAAACAAAAAGGUGGGGCGAGGGAAAGCCAGUGGUGAUGUCAUUAACUCAGCUGGUUUCAAUCAGGCUGCUCAGUUGAAGCUGGUGAAUGACUCUGCAAGUUAUCUUUGCUAGGGCCACACUGAUUCUGACACAAAGCAAAUUAUGUGUCCCAUUAAUCGUUCAGCGAUGAUCACUUGCAAAGCACAGGAAUUCAUUUCCUCAGUCUCUUCGAAGGCAAGUCCUGAAUGAGGGCUGGCUGCUCCUUCACGCACAAUAUAGUCAGGGUUUGGAUCUGCUGGUUGUCUGGUUUUGGCUCGCUCUCUGCUCCGACACCGCCAGUGUCUCCUGAAGCGUUCUGGUGUUCAUUAUUUCAUCGUGUUUUCUAGAUGACAUUUAUCAAAGCUUUAAUUGAUCUGUCCAAAACUCAUUUCCCGCCUUGAGCCUCUACUGUACCCUUACUCAUGCCUUUGUCAUCUGUAAAAAUGAAAUUGUGAAGUGUUUUUUUUUUUUUUCCUGUUUGUUGGUGGCUUGGAUUCUUUUAGAUUCACCUGACUUUUAGGUGUUCAUUUUUAAAAAUUGCUAAUCUUGGAUCUCCUUUAUUAAUUUUUAUUUUGACUU